This 640-nucleotide ribosomal RNA is filed under the name uncultured Actinomycetes bacterium. RNAcentral describes it as "bacterial SSU rRNA". It matches the Rfam family "Bacterial small subunit ribosomal RNA", at positions 8 to 655 of the family's 1533-position model. The record is from RNAcentral. Lineage: Bacteria; Bacillati; Actinomycetota; Actinomycetes.
AGAGUUUGAUCAUGGCUCAGGACGAACGCUGGCGGCGCGCCUAAUGCAUGCAAGUCGAGCGACGCAUUCCUUGCCCGUAAGGGCGGGUUUGACGGAGCGGCGAACGGGUGCGUAACACGUGACCAAUCUGCCCCGAAGACCGGGAUAGCCCGGGGAAACCCGGAUUAAUACCGGAUGAUCUCACCAUGACGCAUGUCACAGUGAGCAAAGGUUCAGGCGCUUCGGGAUGAGGUCGCGGCCCAUCAGCUUGUUGGUGAGGUAACGGCUCACCAAGGCGACGACGGGUAGCUGGUCUGAGAGGACGAUCAGCCACACUGGAACUGAGAUACGGUCCAGACUCCUACGGGAGGCAGCAGCAGGGAAUCUUGCGCAAUGGGCGAAAGCCUGACGCAGCGACGCCGCGUGGGGGAUGAAUGCCUUAGGGUUGUAAACCCCUUUCACGAGGGAAGAAACUGACGGUACCUCGAGAAGAAGCCCCGGCCAACUACGUGCCAGCAGCCGCGGUAAUACGUAGGGGGCGAGCGUUGUCCGGAUUUAUUGGGCGUAAAGGGCUCGUAGGCGGCUUGACAAGUCGGCCGUGAAAACCCAGGGCUUAACCCUGGGACGCCGGUCGAUACUGUCAUGGCUAGGGUCCGGUAGA